This is a long non-coding RNA of Mesocricetus auratus (golden hamster), 1408 nucleotides long. RefSeq lists it as uncharacterized. The transcript has 4 exons. NCBI's taxonomy places the organism in Eukaryota, Metazoa, Chordata, Mammalia, Rodentia, Cricetidae. The record is from RefSeq and is a predicted model, not a curated record.
GUGUUCUUGAUUCAAUGUGCGUCACAAGCCACUGAGCAGGCACAAUGUGGUCUUACUGCACAACCACUGCUGGCAGUCAUGGUACCUGCUGCCUUCUGGUGACUGGGAAUGGACUUGGGCUAUAUUACAUUAAAAGCUUCCUUUAGAUUUUAAAUCUUCUUCCUUCUCUCUGCUCUGUUUGAGCAGCACAGCACCUCGAUAAUGACUUUGACUAGCCCCUACUUACUGAGAGAAGAAAAGCGAAGUGAACAAGACAAUUCUUUCCAUGGAGGACAGGAGGCCCACAGUGAGUCCAGAGGCUCAGGACAGUGUGGAUCUCCUCGUCUGCUCGCAGAGGCUGCAGGAAAGUGGAGCGGUCACAGCCUUUCACAGCUGCCUUUCCACUGAAACUCCUUCAAAAGAAAGCUAGCUAGUUGAACUCCAGUGUCAACUCUUUCUCUCAGAACCACAGACAAAGCACAAAUUUCCUGAUCACAGAGGAUCUCGGCCAAGGAACCUGCUAAACCUUUCUGCUCACAUCUUCCAGUGGACGGAACAGUUUCUCUGCGGUGGGCCCAGCGUUAGUGAUGAGAUUCCUGGAAUGCUGGUCACGGAGUCAUCUCAUAACCGAGCCUUCCAUUGGCUCCCUUGGGAUGAACGUUGCCCUAGGCUGUCAUGUGUUCUGCCUACUUCACCACACAACUGUGCCUAGGAAACAAUGUGUAAACACCACAGAUGAGACAAUAUGCAACAGGGACACUCCAACCUGACCAGCUACUCAUUGUGAUGACGCCAUCAUUUAUUUAAGUGGCUUUGGAAUUCUCCAAGAGGAGCCCUCUUCAGAGACGGGAGAAAGCAUGGAUUGGCCAUCAAGAACUUUUAGAAUCGUCUGCUAGUUUUACAAUGUGCUAGGCAAGCAAGUCAAGCCUGAACCAAAAUCCUCUUCCAAGCCCUUCAUGUUGAUGUUUUAUGAGAAAAGGCUGACACAACUCUACAGACUACCGCUGGAGACCCCUCAAAACCAGGGCGUUUGGACGAGCCUUCGUCUUCUCUUCUGGAUACUCUUAUUUUACCGUAUUUGACAUCUUCCAUUUUUGUUUCUGUAUUCACAAGAAUACAUAGUGUGGAGCUAACUAGGCUUAAGUUUCCUAUGUGUGCCCCGUGCUAUUCAUCAUGUAGCAAAAUCUUAACUUAUGGCUCCCCUCUAAUUUUCUGAGUGCCUGGUUUGGUUUUUUUUUUUUUUUUUUUUUUUUUGCUAUCAUUUCUACCUUAAGGGUUUCAGAAACCAUCGUUCUCUGUUGACGAUGAGCGCCUUCUAGUACAGCGUACUGUUUAUUCCACAUGAACUCGAAAAUAACUAGGGCAUCCUGGAAGGAAUCUUUCUCUUUGAUCAAAUUCUUGGUUCAUUAAAUUCCACUUCAUGACUAUA